GCUUAUGUGCUAUAAUAUUAUUAGCAGAAAAGUUAAAGGCGGUGGCGACUUCCGUAGAUUGGAGGUGGUGCUUAUGGUGUAAAAACCAACGUACCACGAUACCGAACGAAAGGAGUAGCCUUGUGUCCAUUUCGGACGCUUUACAGCUUAUGCUGGGCUUCGGCACAUUUGUCGUAGUCUUACUAGCAUUGG
Molecule: small nuclear RNA, 192 nt
Filed under: Lacticaseibacillus paracasei
Lineage: Bacteria; Bacillati; Bacillota; Bacilli; Lactobacillales; Lactobacillaceae
Description: Lactobacillus paracasei rli28
Rfam family: Listeria sRNA rli28
Source: RNAcentral